UGUGCUUUACUUUAGUUGGGC
This 21-nucleotide non-coding RNA is filed under the name Caenorhabditis elegans. Lineage: Eukaryota; Metazoa; Nematoda; Chromadorea; Rhabditida; Rhabditidae. The record is from RNAcentral.